Culex quinquefasciatus (southern house mosquito) is the source of this 832-nucleotide long non-coding RNA. RefSeq lists it as uncharacterized. The transcript has 3 exons. Lineage: Eukaryota; Metazoa; Arthropoda; Insecta; Diptera; Culicidae. The record is from RefSeq and is a predicted model, not a curated record.
CGGUCGGAAUUUAAUACAUUAACGAUUGUUUACCGUCAAAACAACGCUCACCUCUCUUUACACCACAUUGGUUUGAACUCGGACUUGACAGUUUGACAUUGCGCGAGCUUGUUUAUUUUUGUUUUGCUUGGUUGAGGAUUUUUGUCGUCAUCAUGAGCAGCAGCAGAAAGCCGGAAAGGAGAGCCAACUUUUGUUGAAUAAUUCGAUUUGGCACGGGCAUUAGAAAAUUUUGAUGGAGUUGGUUCUGGACUUGACCCCGGUCCUGGCUUUCGAAUAUUAAGAUGGCUUGAAGAUCUUUGGCGUCAACACGGCAGAUGGAAUAAUCUAACCUGCAACCAUGGUGUGCUGCAGCUGGCCAUUGUGGAAAUGCAACCGAGAGACCUCAAGGUUGUGGAAUCCUGGGUGGUUCUCAAUCCUUCUGUCCCUUCUGGCAGAAUCUCCCACCAACCGCGACUUCAGCUGGAUAAAAACGCUAGUGGAUUUGAAGAGCUUCACGCAGAAGCGGCGUCCGACAAGAAAAAUAUUCCGGUGGAAGGGACUUCACCAAAUGCGUCCAAAACUCGAACAACCUGGACAAGGAUUUUUGCGUGCACCACAAAAUCGAAAGAAAUCCUUCGAUGGGAUUAUGAUGAGAAGCGCCUCGGUGGAGAUUUUUAUAGUUUGCCGUGAUGAUCAGCGGGAGUUAGAUGGAUUUUGGAAGUGAGACUUUUUGUCGGUUCAGAUGACCACUUCCUGCUCCAGAUACUCUUUAGUGUUUUGGCUUUCCAAUGUGUUCAUGUGGCAGCCGUUUGACAACACAAAUAAUGUAAGAUUCAGUAGCGAGUAACGUCGG